AUGGACGAAAGUCUGACGGAGCAACGCCGCGUGAGUGAUGAAGGUUUUCGGAUCGUAAAGCUCUGUUGUUAGGGAAGAACAAGUGCCUUUGAAUAAGGCGGCACCUUGACGGUACCUAACCAGAAAGCCACGGCUAACUACGUGCCAGCAGCCGCGGUAAUACGUAGGUGGCAAGCGUUGUCCGGAAUUAUUGGGCGUAAAGCGCGCGCAGGCGGUCUCUUAAGUCUGAUGUGAAAGCCCACGGCUCAACCGUGGAGGGUCAUUGGAAACUGGGAGACUUGAGUACAGAAGAGGAGAGUGGAAUUCCACGUGUAGCGGUGAAAUGCGUAGAUAUGUGGAGGAACACCAGUGGCGAAGGCGACUCUCUGGUCUGUAACUGACGCUGAGGCGCGAAAGCGUGGGGAGCAAACAGGAUUAGAUACCC
This 424-nucleotide ribosomal RNA is filed under the name Bacillus sp. 1001T. RNAcentral describes it as "bacterial SSU rRNA". It matches the Rfam family "Bacterial small subunit ribosomal RNA", at positions 371 to 787 of the family's 1533-position model. The record is from RNAcentral. Lineage: Bacteria; Bacillati; Bacillota; Bacilli; Caryophanales; Bacillaceae.